RNAcentral lists this transfer RNA (71 nucleotides) under Gymnothorax buroensis. Its description in RNAcentral is "tRNA-Gln". It matches the Rfam family "tRNA". Rfam says of the family: Transfer RNA (tRNA) molecules are approximately 80 nucleotides in length. Their secondary structure includes four short double-helical elements and three loops (D, anti-codon, and T loops). Further hydrogen bonds mediate the characteristic L-shaped molecular structure. tRNAs have two regions of fundamental functional importance: the anti-codon, which is responsible for specific mRNA codon recognition, and the 3' end, to which the tRNAs corresponding amino acid is attached (by aminoacyl-tRNA synthetases). tRNAs cope with the degeneracy of the genetic code in two manners: having more than one tRNA (with a specific anti-codon) for a particular amino acid; and 'wobble' base-pairing, i.e. permitting non-standard base-pairing at the 3rd anti-codon position. Lineage: Eukaryota; Metazoa; Chordata; Actinopteri; Anguilliformes; Muraenidae. The record is from RNAcentral.
UAGGAAAUAGUGUAGUGGAAGCACGGGGAGUUUUGAUCUCCCUAGCAUGGGUUCAAAUCCCCUUUUCCUAA